This is a non-coding RNA of Prunus avium (sweet cherry), 1218 nucleotides long. NCBI's taxonomy places the organism in Eukaryota, Viridiplantae, Streptophyta, Magnoliopsida, Rosales, Rosaceae. The record is from RefSeq and is a predicted model, not a curated record.
AAAUGGAGUCGUGCUGUGCUAUGCUGUGCCAAAGAAGAAUAGCUGAAGAACGUGGAGAAAAAUUCCUCAGGUUCAGAACCCACGAAGCUGGCGGUUUCCACAAUUUCAGAACCCAUCACCACCAUGUUACUUAUAUUUUCUUCCUCCACUUGACUGGCUCCCUUUUCUGCUUCAGAAAUCCAAAUCGAGAGUAACCAACUAGAAACACCCAGUGUAAAGACUGGUCAGACCCAAAAACCCUGCUUUCUCAUCCCGCACCACACCUGCUACCCUGUAACUGAAGGAGAGGUUAUACACCAUCCACCAUUAGAGAAAGCACCAGCAAGCCCAAGGCUUAUAAUUCAUGGCCGCCAACUCUUGAAGCAAAGCUGUUCUCAACCGCGUCUGUUCUUCUUGCGGGGAACCAUGCUGAUCCGAAAUCGCAGAUCCAUUUGAAUACCAUGAUUCGUAUUGGCGGUGUUUGACCUGACGCUUUGGGGUCUUUCCCCAAUUGCAACAAGUAAAGUACGAUUGCAAUAGAUGUGGGGCAAUCUUGGGGCCAUUCUUUCAAAACUCUUAUUCAGAAGUUCAAGUUGGUUAUUGCCCUGAAUGCCAAUCAAAAGGACCGUUCAGUGUCAAUAUUGAGCAGUUUUAAUCCGUAUAGGCAGCAGUUCCUUUCAGUUUUUUUACGCUCUCAUCUUCUUCUUCUUCACUUUUCGGGGUCCAGUCAUUAGUUCAAGAACUCGAAGUCCAGAGUUGCUUCAAUGACUCAAGUUCCAUGCUUUCUGUUUAAUAAUCUUCAGUCUGCAAAGUAUUAAUUCUUUAAAUGAUGGAAUCGCCUCUCACCUCUCUCUCUCUGACGCAUAAGGGUUCCAUAAGAAGCAGAGGAAACUAUAUUUAAGGAAUUAAAAGCAAAAUGAGGAUCAGAGUUGGAGGGAGUUCAAGAGUAACAUGAAAGCAGAACAAAACGGAAGCAUCAUGGUGAGUCAACAUAAGCACCGAUCAUGACAUCUUUGAGCAGUGAACCAAAGUCGCUCUUCUUCGUGGACAAGUCCAAAGAAUUUUGCUGCAUGAGGCUUCCAAAGAAGAUAGUAGCAAGAGAGCAUAAAAUUGCUGCAGGGGGAGGUUCAUGUACAAGCAGUAGCUAAAAGGAUUUCCUGAUCUUAAUUUAAUUGUCAUGAAUUUUUUGUAUUUUGUUUUCCUUUUUCAAUGAAUGCAAUACUAGCUUCAAUUACUAUA